GAUGAAGAACGUAGCGAAAUGCGAUACGUAAUGUGAAUUGCAAAUUCAGUGAAUCAUCGAGUCUUUGAACGCACAUUGCGCCCCCUGGUAUUCCGGGGGGCAUGCCUGUCCGAGCGUCAUUGCUGCCCUCAAGCACGGCUUGUGCGUUGGGCCCCGUCCUCCGAUCCCGGGGGACGGGCCCGAAAGGCAGCGGCGGCACCGCGUCCGGUCCUCGAGCGUAUGGGGCUUUGUCACCCGCUCUGUAGGCCCGGCCGGCGCUUGCCGAUCAACCCAAAUUUUUAUCCAGGUUGACCUCGGAUCAGGUAGGGAUACCCGCUGAACUUAAGCAUAUCAAUAAGCGGAGGA
RNAcentral lists this unclassified non-coding RNA (345 nucleotides) under soil metagenome. RNAcentral describes it as "partial contains 5.8S ribosomal RNA, internal transcribed spacer 2, and large subunit ribosomal RNA". The stretch from base 1 to 119 matches the Rfam family "5.8S ribosomal RNA", at positions 35 to 154 of the family's 154-position model. The record is from RNAcentral.